UGCAAACUUCAGAAGUAAAAAGGAAAAUUGAUUUGAUCUUGAUUUUGCACUCGAAGCUGAAGAAAUAUAUGAGCAUUGAAGAUUCACACUAAUCAAAACACUAUAUUUUUUACCACGAACAAGGAAGAACAACUAAUACUAAAGACAGACAAUACAAGAGGAGAUAAAUUUGCACUAUUUUUGAGCUAGAACAGAGAUAUUAUGAAUCAGUUCUCGAAUAUAUGCACUUUAAGUAAGAACAAUUCAAAGAUAUAAAUAUCAUACCCAUUUGAAGAAGGUGAUCUGUUG
Molecule: long non-coding RNA, 288 nt
Organism: Arabidopsis thaliana (thale cress)
Lineage: Eukaryota; Viridiplantae; Streptophyta; Magnoliopsida; Brassicales; Brassicaceae
Product: other RNA
Exons: 1
Source: RefSeq